This 94-nucleotide transfer RNA is filed under the name Flavimaricola marinus. Its description in RNAcentral is "tRNA-Ser". The record is from RNAcentral. Lineage: Bacteria; Pseudomonadati; Pseudomonadota; Alphaproteobacteria; Rhodobacterales; Paracoccaceae.
UGCUCUUGCAGGUGGGCAAUGGGCUGACCCCGCUGGAAUCGGGGCUGACGACAUUGCCGUUCUCGGUGGGUGUGAUCAUCGCAUCGGGGGUGUC